Molecule: long non-coding RNA, 3996 nt
Organism: Ctenopharyngodon idella (grass carp)
Lineage: Eukaryota; Metazoa; Chordata; Actinopteri; Cypriniformes; Xenocyprididae
Exons: 5
Source: RefSeq, a predicted model, not a curated record
UACUUAAAGAAAAUAGACUCAGAUGAAAAGGACAUUUUUUAUUUUAGCCUUUACAGUUCUUGAAUUAUAAGUGACAUUUUUUUACAUGGUGAAAAUACAGCCACACUGCUUCAACUCCUAAUGAAAUUACAAUGCAGAUGAAAACAAUGGAAUGAAAGAUUUUACAAAACAGAAAUUCACCACAAAAUACUAAACACAGAUAAACAUUGUCUAUCCAGGCAUUACACAGAAUUAUGCAGUAAAACAGCUUCAAUUAGCUUUAAAACAGCUCAAAAUCUUCAAUCUUGCUCUCAGAUUUCAAUUUAAAACACUGCAUUUUCCAUAGAGAUUUACAAUUUUGUCAUAUCUAAAGUCGUGUCAUAUCUGUGGUUUAGAUUUAAUGUUUGGUAUAAUGUUCUGCAUUUUGUUUUGCCACUUUACAGUAAUAUAACUAGACUGCAUGUACACACUCAGUAGUCACUAAAAGGAAAAAAGAAGAGCAUACACUUUUGACUUGCUCAACAUCCAUAAGACAAAACUGAGAGCAGGCUGUAAACCAAUAGACAAAUAUAUUUUCAAUUGAAUGAAUUGCAAAUGUAGUGAGCAGUACUGUAAAAAAAAAAUGGAUCCAUACCUUGAAUGAAAUUAGAGUAGUGCAAUUUGCACUCUUCAUAUUACUCAAGAUCUUAUUGAAUCGCCAAAUGAAGUGCUGAAAAUGAAUCGCCUGCUCUAUCAUCUGAAACGUGUUGGAAAAAUGACUGCAUCCACAAUAAUUGUUAUAUACAAUGAAAAUACACAACUUAAAAUAACAUGCAUAGUAAAAAAUGUUAUUGAUUCUGCAAAUAAUUUUUACAAAAAGCCUUAUAUUGGUGCUGGCACUGAACUGUCUAGAAUUUUUUUGUUCUAAAUUUGGAACUCUAGGUACUUAUAGGGGAGAAAUGAGAAGGCGGGAUUGCCCAAAAUGAGCACACACACACACAAAUACACAUUUUACACUAAUUAGAGUAAUCAGUGGCAACAAUUUGUUCUCAGUCUCUGUUGACAGACAUCUUGGCGGAUUGCAGCGGCCCUGUUUAGUAAAGGUAGUUUAUUUUCACCAUGGGUUGUCCGUCAACAGCUAGUCUAUGUCUGGUGGCCCCAGUUGCCCGAAAUAGCAAUAAUUAGGAUAGGGAGGGAAAAGAGGAAGAGAGAAAACGUGUCAGACUGCUGGUAGGCCAUCCACAGAGGCCUCUCAUCCUUUUUUCUACUUGCUUUUGUGUGUGUGUGUUUCCUCUGUUAAUACUAUGACCAUCCCUAAUGAGACAGAGAGAGAGAGAGCGUUCUGGUGUACGUGGAUGAGAAUCUAGUGUUUUGAAACUGUGAAAUUGGGCGAGACAAGAUUAUCUGAUACCUGAAGAGGCCACACACAGAGUCUCUAAAUGACUGAACAUUCAGAAUGUGAACGAUAGUCAACUAGCUAAAAUGCACAGGGUUGCAUUUCGUCUAAGAAAAUUACUAGAGAUGCAUAAUAUAUUAGAACCAUAACCGUUAUUAGCGGUUAUUAGAGAUUCAUUUGAUAUUGGUUGGUUAUGUUUAACUGUAUAAGUUUCUCACAUUUUCACAUUUAGAUUACAUUUACUGUCAUUUAACAUUCUUAAAAAUUAAAAUAAAUUUAAUUCUAAAAUUUUAAAUUUUAAAAUGACUAAUAACAUUCUUUAAGAAUGCUUUUAAUUUAAUACACUAUUAAAUGUAAAUUUUGGCAAAUCUCAAAAUGAAUAUUCAUUUUCAUAUGUAUAUUUUAAUGUUGUGAUGCCUAAAUUCACUUGUAGCAUAUAAUUAAUUUUUAUUUUUAAUGUUUUAUUUUUAAUUUAUUUAGGAGAAUUUUUUUUAUUGUUUUAUUUAUAAAUAAUUAAUCAGUUUUUGAUCAUAACAUUAUAUAUAGAACAGUUCUUGACUCAAUUUUGAAGAACCCUUUAUGCCAAAAAGGUUCACUGGAGAAAUGUUAAAUGAGUGAACAAUACUUUCAUGUUUAAUGGGUUAUUUCGAUUUUAAUUUAAAUUUAUUUUUUAGUAUGUUUAUUAGCUGAUUCAUAAAAUUUAAUUACAAUAAAAAAAUGAAUCAAAACUUAAAUUAAUCAAUUAAUUAAAACUAAAUCCAUAAAAUUAUUCCAUAAUUGGAACCUCUAAAAUGUUAUAUGAAGCGCCUGACAGAACCUUUAAGGUUCUGUACGGAGGUUCUAUUCAUCUGUCAGAAUUUUUUUUUUUUUUUUUUUUUUAAAUGCAGAAAUCAGAAUUGGUUAAUUAGGAGUUAAAUACACAAUAUAGCUGAAUUAAAGCCUUACACCUUUCAGGGCAAUAUGUAAACAUGUAUAUACAUUUUUAUAUAACUUGUUGGUAACACUUUACAAUAAGGUUCAUUAGUUAAACAUUAGUUAAUGUAUUAACUAACAUGAACUAACUAUAAGCAAUACAUUUGUUACUGUAUUUGUUAAUCUUUGUUAAUGUUAGUUAAAAAUACAGCAGGUCAUUGUUUGUUCAUGUUAGUUCAUAGUGAAUUAACUAAUGUUAACAUAAUACAGCUCUUGAUUUUAAUAAUGUAUUAGUAAAUGUUGAAAUUAACAUUAACAAAGAUUAAUGCUGUAGAAGUGCAGUUCAUUAUUAGUUCAUGUUAACUAAUGUAGUUCACUAAUGUUAACUAAUGAACCUUAUUGUAAAGUGUUACCAAAUUUUCUAUGUAUUGUUCAUACUAUGAAACAUAAGAAUAUCCCAAACACAUCAUUAUAAAAAACUGACUUAUCAGUCUCUUAUAAUAUUCUGUGGGUGCCCUCGAAGUAGAUUGUCAACUUGUUAACCUGAGUUUGAACUAGAACAUUUUAACAACAACCAAAAUGCUGCUUUUAUCAUGUUCUAAUCUUUUUUGGAGGGUGGGUGAAGUCAUGCUGGACACACACACACUUCCCUUUAUCCAUAAUCUCCUGGUCAUCCUAUAUAAACCCACCCCAGCUUCAGGUCUACAAAUACCCAAAACACACAUGCCCUUGACAGAGAGGACUGCAAGGCAACAUACACAUACAAGGCAGGACAGAGCAGGAUUGUCAAAGAACUCCUGAAGAAACUUCUAAAGGACAGACUAAUUCACCAAGAAGAUGAUGUGCUCCAGGUGUUUGCUACUUAUUCUGGUUGUCUACUUCUUGAUGGACGAGCUUUGUGCUUUCCUGCUACCAGACAGACUGCGAAUGAAAAGAAGCAGUCACAGGUCGGAUCAGGAGAUGUCACCACACAUCUAUGAGCUCUCUGAUCUGGCAGACUUGUUCCCAGGAAAUGAAGGGGAAAUGACUCGGGACUGGGAUCCCAAUCCGGCCAAGUCUCCUGCGUUCUUUUCUCCUUUGGAACAUAUCAAUGUGCAACCAGCAAACAGCAACCGCCGCAAAAACAAGGAUAAGAGGAGGAGGAUCACUGUUCCUCUGGACCCCAUUGGCAGCUCCCACUUGUCUACUAGAAACAGAAAGGAGGAACCUGGAGAUUUCAAGGAGUAUGACGCAAAGUGAUCAAGCUGACCGAUUAUAUGUACCGUUAAAAAGGACAAUUUAUUAUGUUGUGUAGUUUUGGUCCUUUUUCUCCUUUUUGGUUUCUAUUAAGUCAUUGCAUCUCAGGAUUAUGAACUGUGACUUAUUUAUUUGUAUUUAUGUUUUGCGAAUAUUAGCUUACCAACUCCCUCUAGUGGGGUGCAAACUGACAGACACUGUAUUGGUGUUGCUGCAAAAUAAAACGUACAAUGAUAAAACUAUCCAGUCUUGUCCAAUGUUCUUUCAACUUAUAUUGUGAUGCAUCAUGUUUUUGUGAAUUAAAAUAAGAGCUACAUUAGUAAAAUAAGAUAUUUGAAGCCCAAUAAAGAAAAGUUUUAUUUCCUCAGGUAGUUAAAGAAAAUGAUAUCAGAUGCAAAAAAUAUACCAUUUGCUUUGCUUUUCUCUUCACUUUCACAUAUGUACACUUCUCAAAAUCUGUGAUAUUUACAGACUGCAACACGAAGCAAGAGAGA